RNAcentral lists this ribosomal RNA (495 nucleotides) under uncultured bacterium. Its description in RNAcentral is "partial 16S ribosomal RNA". It matches the Rfam family "Bacterial small subunit ribosomal RNA", at positions 28 to 507 of the family's 1533-position model. The record is from RNAcentral.
GACGAACGCUGGCGGCGUGCCUAAUACAUGCAAGUAGAACGCUGAAGGAGGAGCUUGCUCUUCUGGAUGAGUUGCGAACGGGUGAGUAACGCGUAGGUAACCUGCCUGGUAGCGGGGGAUAACUAUUGGAAACGAUAGCUAAUACCGCAUAAGAGUAGAUGUUGCAUGACAUUUGCUUAAAAGGUGCAAUUGCAUCACUACCAGAUGGACCUGCGUUGUAUUAGCUAGUUGGUGGGGUAACGGCUCACCAAGGCGACGAUACAUAGCCGACCUGAGAGGGUGAUCGGCCACACUGGGACUGAGACACGGCCCAGACUCCUACGGGAGGCAGCAGUAGGGAAUCUUCGGCAAUGGACGGAAGUCUGACCGAGCAACGCCGCGUGAGUGAAGAAGGGUUUCGGAUCGUAAAGCUCUGUUGUAAGAGAAGAACGAGUGUGAGAGUGGAAAGUCCACACUGUGACGGUAGCUUACCAGAAAGAGACGGCUAACUACGUG